Molecule: ribosomal RNA, 510 nt
Filed under: uncultured bacterium
Lineage: Bacteria
Description: partial 16S ribosomal RNA
Rfam family: Bacterial small subunit ribosomal RNA
Source: RNAcentral
GACGAACGCUGGCGGCGUGCUUAACACAUGCAAGUCGAACGAAGAGCGAUGGAAGCUUGCUUCUAUCAAUCUUAGUGGCGAACGGGUGAGUAACGCGUAAUCAACCUGCCCUUCAGAGGGGGACAACAGUUGGAAACGACUGCUAAUACCGCAUACGAUCUAAUCUCGGCAUCGAGGAAAGAUGAAAGGUGGCCUCUAUUUAUAAGCUAUCACUGAAGGAGGGGAUUGCGUCUGAUUAGCUAGUUGGAGGGGUAACGGCCCACCAAGGCGAUGAUCAGUAGCCGGUCUGAGAGGAGGAACGGCCACAUUGGGACUGAGACACGGCCCAGACUCCUACGGGAGGCAGCAGUGGGGAAUCUUCCGCAAUGGACGAAAGUCUGACGGAGCAACGCCGCGUGAGUGAUGACGGCCUUCGGGUUGUAAAGCUCUGUUAAUCGGGACGAAAGGCCUUCUUGCGAACAGUUAGAAGGAUUGACGGUACCGGAAUAGAAAGCCACGGCUAACUACGUG